Molecule: ribosomal RNA, 618 nt
Filed under: uncultured archaeon
Lineage: Archaea
Description: bacterial SSU rRNA
Rfam family: Archaeal small subunit ribosomal RNA
Source: RNAcentral
UGCGAGUCAUAUGUUCUUCGUGAACAUGGCGUACUGCUCAGUAACACGUGGAUAACCUGCCCUUGGGUCUGGGAUAACCCCGGGAAACUGGGGAUAAUACCGGAUAACGCAUAUGUGCUGGAAUGCUUUAUGCGUAAAAUGGAUUCGUCUGCCCAAGGAUGGGUCUGCGGCCUAUCAGGUAGUAGUGGGUGUAAUGUACCUACUAGCCUACAACGGGUACGGGUUGUGAGAGCAAGAGCCCGGAGAUGGAUUCUGAGACAUGAAUCCAGGCCCUACGGGGCGCAGCAGGCGCGAAAACUUUACAAUGCGGGAAACCGUGAUAAGGGGACACCGAGUGCCAGCAUCAUAUGUUGGCUGUCCAGAUGUGUAAAAUACAUCUGUUAGCAAGGGCCGGGCAAGACCGGUGCCAGCCGCCGCGGUAACACCGGCGGCCCGAGUGGUGAUCGUGAUUAUUGGGUCUAAAGGGUCCGUAGCCGGUUUGGUCAGUCCUCCGGGAAAUCUGACGGCUCAACCGUUAGGCUUUCGGUGGAUACUGCCAGACUUGGAACCGGGAGAGGUAAGAGGUACUACAGGGGUAGGAGUGAAAUCUUGUAAUCCCUGUGAGACCACCUGUGGCGA